GAGAUGUCUUGGGAUGCUGCCAUGGUAUCUAGACUUCUCUGCUGUGUGGCCCUUUGUCUCCUGGGAGCAGGCCCAGUGGAUUCUGGAGUCACUCAGACCCCCAAACACCUGGUCAAAGCAAGAAAACAGCAAGUGACACUGAGUUGUUCCUAUAUCUCUGGGCACCGCUCCGUGUACUGGUACCAACAAGCCCAGGACCAGGGCCCCCAGUUCCUCAUUGAAUAUUACAACGGGAAGGAAAGUACAAAAGGAAACAUCCCUGACCGAUUCUCAGUGGAACAGUUCAGUGACCAUCGCUCUGAGCUGAACAUGAGCUCGCUGGAGCUGACGGACUCGGCCCUGUAUCUCUGCGCCAGCAGCGAAAACACAGCCCUGCAUGCUAGGCAGCCUGCUGUCCAGACUAUAGGCCUGGGAAGAUCUCACAUCAUCUGUGCUUGUUGUAACCUCUCCCCUGACAACUUCAUGUACAUUUGA
Molecule: non-coding RNA, 474 nt
Organism: Myotis daubentonii (Daubenton's bat)
Lineage: Eukaryota; Metazoa; Chordata; Mammalia; Chiroptera; Vespertilionidae
Source: the annotation of a RefSeq genome assembly